CCUACGGGUGGCAGCAGUGAGGAAUAUUGGACAAUGGACGAGAGUCUGAACCAGCCAAGUAGCGUGAAGGAUGACUGACCUAUGGGUUGUACACUUCUUUUAUAUGGGAGUAAAAUACUCCACGUGUGGGAUAUUGUAUGUAUCAUAUGAAUAAGGAUCGGCUAACUCCGUGCCAGCAGCCGCGGUAAUCCGGAGGAACCGAGCGUUAUGCGGAUUUAUUGGGUUUAAAGGGAGCGUAGGUGGAUUUGUAAGUCAGUUGUGAAAGUUUGAGGCUCAACCGUAAAAUUGCAGUUGAAACUGGAAGUCUUGAGUAUAGUAGAGGCGGGCGGAAUUCGUGGUGUAGCGGUGAAAUGCUUAGAUAUCACGAAGAACUCCGAUUGCGAAGGCAGCUCACUGGACUGCAACUGACAUUGAGGCUCGAAAGUGUGGGUAGCAAACAGGAUUAGAUACCCGAGUAGUC
Molecule: ribosomal RNA, 460 nt
Filed under: uncultured bacterium
Lineage: Bacteria
Description: partial 16S ribosomal RNA
Rfam family: Bacterial small subunit ribosomal RNA
Source: RNAcentral